GGAGAGGAUAGGGGACGAGCUGCUGGAAGUGUCAGCUUAUUGGGGUGGCCGAUGGGGGCCUCUCCCAGGAGGGACUGUGGGAGGAGCCAGCGGGUGGCCCGGGAGUUUGGGACGAGGCAGGAUCCUGGCUGCCAGACUGCGGACUGCGGAGAAGAAAGGCCCCAAGAGGGAGAGCGGCCUGAUGUGGGUCUGGAACAGGACAAGCAGAAGUGGCCUUGAAAAUUUGGGUCCCGGGCGACUCAUGCGUCCUUCCCUGCUCUGGACAAGGCUUUGCGGCUCCCAGGGCAGCUUCCACCCCGCGAAAGGCGGCCUCUACUAUGACAUUUUCCUCCAGGUCACUUUGCAGCCUACGUCUUCCACCCCGGCUCUCUCCACUGACGUCACCUGCCCCCGGAUCGUCCCCUCCCUCGCCGCUUCCCCCGCGCACCUUUCAAUACCCCGGGCUGGGAGGGAGGCCAGGGUUCAGUCUGGACGCCUGAAUGACCGACGGGAUUUCUUUGUCAUAAAUGCGACUUUAUUAUUUUCAA
Canis lupus familiaris (dog) is the source of this 527-nucleotide long non-coding RNA. RefSeq lists it as uncharacterized. The record is from RefSeq and is a predicted model, not a curated record. The transcript is spliced from 2 exons. Lineage: Eukaryota; Metazoa; Chordata; Mammalia; Carnivora; Canidae.